CCUACGGGGGGCUGCAGUGGGGAAUAUUGGACAAUGGGCGAAAGCCUGAUCCAGCCAUGCCGCGUGUGUGAAGAAGGCCUUCGGGUUGUAAAGCACUUUCAGUGGGGAAGAAAGCCUUGGGGCUAAUACCCUCGAGGAAGGACAUCACCCACAGAAGAAGCACCGGCUAACUCCGUGCCAGCAGCCGCGGUAAUACGGAGGGUGCGAGCGUUAAUCGGAAUUACUGGGCGUAAAGCGCGCGUAGGCGGUCUGGUAAGCCGGUUGUGAAAGCCCCGGGCUCAACCUGGGAACGGCAUCCGGAACUGUCAGGCUAGAGUGCAGGAGAGGAAGGUAGAAUUCCCGGUGUAGCGGUGAAAUGCGUAGAGAUCGGGAGGAAUACCAGUGGCGAAGGCGGCCUUCUGGACUGACACUGACGCUGAGGUGCGAAAGCGUGGGUAGCAAACAGGAUUAGAUACCCGAGUAGUC
RNAcentral lists this ribosomal RNA (465 nucleotides) under Vreelandella stevensii. RNAcentral's name for it is "partial 16S ribosomal RNA". It matches the Rfam family "Bacterial small subunit ribosomal RNA", at positions 338 to 795 of the family's 1533-position model. Lineage: Bacteria; Pseudomonadati; Pseudomonadota; Gammaproteobacteria; Oceanospirillales; Halomonadaceae. The record is from RNAcentral.